GAUCCUGGCUUAGGAUGAACGCUGGCGGCGUGCCUAAUACAUGCAAGUCGUACGGAGCGCUUCAGCUUGCUGGAGAGCUCAGUGGCGAACGGGUGAGUAAUACGUAAGUAACCUGCCUGCAAGGACUGGGAUAACACCUGGAAACGGGCGCUAAUACCGGAUAGGUAACAGAGGGGCAUCCCACUGUUAUUAAGGUUAAAAACACAAGCAGAUGGGCUUACGGUGCAUUAGUUAGUUGGUGAGGUAACGGCCCACCUGGCCGACGAUCAGUAGGGGUUCUGAGAGGAAGGUCCCCCACAUUGGAACUGAGACACGGUCCAAACUCCUACGGGAGGCAGCAGUGAGGAAUAUUGGUCAAUGGACGGAAGUCUGAACCAGCCAAGUAGCGUGCAAGGAAGACGGCCCUAUGGGUUGUAAACUGCUUUUAUCAGGGGAUAAAGUGAGGUAUGUAUACCUUUUUGCAUGUACCUGAUGAAUAAGGACCGGCUAAUUCCGUGCCAGCAGCCGC
RNAcentral lists this ribosomal RNA (508 nucleotides) under uncultured bacterium. RNAcentral describes it as "bacterial SSU rRNA". It matches the Rfam family "Bacterial small subunit ribosomal RNA", at positions 15 to 518 of the family's 1533-position model. The record is from RNAcentral.